This 329-nucleotide ribosomal RNA is filed under the name uncultured eukaryote. RNAcentral describes it as "partial 18S ribosomal RNA". It matches the Rfam family "Eukaryotic small subunit ribosomal RNA", at positions 1470 to 1796 of the family's 1831-position model. The record is from RNAcentral.
CCCUUAGAUGUCCUGGGCUGCACGCGCGCUACACUGACGAACUCAACGAGCUUAUCACCUUGGCAGAGAUGUCUGGGUAAUCUUUUGAAAGUUCGUCGUGCUGGGGAUAGAUGAUUGUAAUUAUUCGUCUUGAACGAGGAAUUCCUAGUAAGUGUGAGUCAUCAGCUCGCGCUGAUUACGUCCCCGCCCUUUGUACACACCGCCCGUCGCUCCUACCGAUUGAAUGGUCCGGUGAGGUUCUCGGAUUUUUUCUGUUGUUUGGUUCGCUAAACGAUUGAAGAGAGAAGUUACCCAAACCUUACCAUUUAGAGGAAGGAGAAGUCGUAACA